This 301-nucleotide ribosomal RNA is filed under the name uncultured bacterium. Its description in RNAcentral is "partial 16S ribosomal RNA". It matches the Rfam family "Bacterial small subunit ribosomal RNA", at positions 509 to 807 of the family's 1533-position model. The record is from RNAcentral.
CAGUCGCCACGGUAAUACAGAGGGUGCGAGCGUUAAUCGGAUUUACUGGGCGUAAAGCGUGCGUAGGCGGCUUCUUAAGUCGGAUGUGAAAUCCCUGAGCUUAACUCAGGAAUUGCAUUCGAUACUGGGAAGCUAGAGUAUGGGAGAGGAUGGUAGAAUUCCAGGUGUAGCGGUGAAAUGCGUAGAGAUCUGGAGGAAUACCGAUGGCGAAGGCAGCCAUCUGGCCUAAUACUGACGCUGAGGUACGAAAGCAUGGGGAGCAAACAGGAUUAGAUACCCCAGUAGUCCCUGUCUCUUAUAC